GCCGUGGCUCAAUGGUAGAGCACUUCACUCGUAAUGAAGUGGUUGCGAGUUCGAUUCUCGCCGGC
RNAcentral lists this transfer RNA (65 nucleotides) under Alterileibacterium massiliense. It matches the Rfam family "tRNA". From Rfam's summary of the family: Transfer RNA (tRNA) molecules are approximately 80 nucleotides in length. Their secondary structure includes four short double-helical elements and three loops (D, anti-codon, and T loops). Further hydrogen bonds mediate the characteristic L-shaped molecular structure. tRNAs have two regions of fundamental functional importance: the anti-codon, which is responsible for specific mRNA codon recognition, and the 3' end, to which the tRNAs corresponding amino acid is attached (by aminoacyl-tRNA synthetases). tRNAs cope with the degeneracy of the genetic code in two manners: having more than one tRNA (with a specific anti-codon) for a particular amino acid; and 'wobble' base-pairing, i.e. permitting non-standard base-pairing at the 3rd anti-codon position. Lineage: Bacteria; Bacillati; Bacillota; Clostridia; Peptostreptococcales; Anaerovoracaceae. The record is from RNAcentral.